This 73-nucleotide transfer RNA is filed under the name Armatimonadota bacterium. It matches the Rfam family "tRNA". From Rfam's summary of the family: Transfer RNA (tRNA) molecules are approximately 80 nucleotides in length. Their secondary structure includes four short double-helical elements and three loops (D, anti-codon, and T loops). Further hydrogen bonds mediate the characteristic L-shaped molecular structure. tRNAs have two regions of fundamental functional importance: the anti-codon, which is responsible for specific mRNA codon recognition, and the 3' end, to which the tRNAs corresponding amino acid is attached (by aminoacyl-tRNA synthetases). tRNAs cope with the degeneracy of the genetic code in two manners: having more than one tRNA (with a specific anti-codon) for a particular amino acid; and 'wobble' base-pairing, i.e. permitting non-standard base-pairing at the 3rd anti-codon position. The record is from Rfam by way of RNAcentral. Lineage: Bacteria; Bacillati; Armatimonadota.
UCGCGUAUGGCGCAAUCGGCAGCGCCCCGGAUUGUUAAUCCGGUGGUUCCAGGUUCGAGUCCUGGUGCGCGAG